Long non-coding RNA from Labrus mixtus (cuckoo wrasse), 1478 nucleotides. RefSeq lists it as uncharacterized. The record is from RefSeq and is a predicted model, not a curated record. NCBI's taxonomy places the organism in Eukaryota, Metazoa, Chordata, Actinopteri, Labriformes, Labridae. The transcript is spliced from 8 exons.
UUUUACGAUGUACUUAUGUUAACUUUUCUUUUGUGUGUGUGUGCAGACUGUCUCCCUCUCUCUCCCCCCCCCCCUCCUCUCCCCUGCCACUGGUCUCGCUCUAGUGGCUGCGUUACCGGUGAUCACAGCCUGACAGACCGUCCUUGGGGAGCCAGGAGCACCGUUUACAGCUCUUUUGGUGUCAAUGCCUCCUGUCUGCUCUAAUUCCCACCUCCCCACUGUGCCUCCUACUCUUCCUCCACACUUCUCCCUACUCAGGACACUCAAAUCCAUUACACCGAGGAGCAGACAGGCACAAACAAACAAAGCCAAACAAGACAGCCGCCCCAUGUGCCUGCUGCGGAUCGAUUAUCCUGCUUAGUCACAAGUUUAAAACAAGCAUUAAAACACAUCUUUCCAGAGCUCAUCUGGCCGACAAGAAAAACAUCCACCAGUGACAUAAAGGGCAAACAAACAGGGCUGAAGAAGAAGAUGGCACUGAAGCGCCCAAAACUGUAGUCCCUCAAGUGGGCACUUGAGGCCUGAUUCAAAGCUUCAUCUUUGCAGACAUUGGGAGCUGUCAUUGCGCGACACCCUGUGACGUGGGUGACACUCAGCCGAUAUGACAGGUGCUGGACAGCAGACGCACUCCCAGGCGAGCUGGCUAUAUUUCUUCAGGAUUGCCCAUUCUGGGGGUUAAGACCAACAUAAAAAAAGUGGGAAAAACGGGAACCUCUGAUGCCACUAGAUCAGUUUCCUCUGCCAGUAUUCAUCUCCAUCACUGCCACAUCAGCUGGUCCCAAGGUUGUGAGGUCAUCCAAACAUCUGGCCCCUCCGCCAUGUUUCCUAAGAUCAUGGAAAGUAUGAAAAUCAUAAAACAUGAAGAAAGAGAAUCUGGUUCCCUGUUAAAAGAUACUGCCCUGUAACUUUGAAAAACCUAAUCAUAAUACAAGACAAGGGGGAUGUUCUUGGCUCCAAGGCUCAAAGGCUGAUGGAACAAGGCCCAAUUUCUGAGGCUGCCAGGUACAUGACCAAGGAGGUGAGGAGACCUUGAAGAGCUCAUAGUUGAAGGGCAAACAGGAUCAUAGAGCCAGUCUGUGAGCUGUGAUCAAAUACAUAUCUAGACAACACAGAUUAUGCAAAUGAGAUACAGAAAUAAUUGUGUUUUUUACACCACGUGUUCAGGUAAAAGAAAGUAGAUCUUUGAACUAACAUGAAAGGCUUUAUAUACCUGUUUGUGACAGAAGUCGACAGAGGCUGAGGUUUUCCUCUUAAUGCCACGUAAAGCCUUCAGUCCUCUGCCCGGCCCUCUGGUGUGAUAUGAAGUGAAAGCCAAUGUGGGGUUUGGCACUGGACGGCCAUUUUGUGUCUGGUCUGAUGCAUGGUUUCACUGGGUGUCACUUUGGCUACAUAUCAGAAUCCUCGGUGGCGGCGGUGAGCGAAGCUGCAGGUAUCAUUAAACCAUUUUUACGGCAACAGUUGAGCAGAAAAAGACAGAC